ACGGGUGAGUAACACGUGAGUAACCUGCCCUUGACUCUGGGAUAAGCCUGGGAAACUGGGUCUAAUACCGGAUAUGACCAUCUGGCGCAUGUCAUGGUGGUGGAAAGCUUUUGUGGUUUUGGAUGGACUCGCGGCCUAUCAGCUUGUUGGUGGGGUAAUGGCCUACCAAGGCGACGACGGGUAGCCGGCCUGAGAGGGUGACCGGCCACACUGGGACUGAGACACGGCCCAGACUCCUACGGGAGGCAGCAGUGGGGAAUAUUGCACAAUGGGCGCAAGCCUGAUGCAGCGACGCCGCGUGAGGGAUGACGGCCUUCGGGUUGUAAACCUCUUUCAGUAGGGAAGAAGCCGUAAGGUGACGGUACCUGCAGAAGAAGCGCCGGCUAACUACGUGCCAGCAGCCGCGGUAAUACGUAGGGCGCAAGCGUUAUCCGGAAUUAUUGGGCGUAAAGAGCUCGUAGGCGGUUUGUCGCGUCUGCUGUGAAAGACCGGGGCUCAACUCCGGUUCUGCAGUGGGUACGGGCAGACUAGAGUGCAGUAGGGGAGACUGGAAUUCCUGGUGUAGCGGUGAAAUGCGCAGA
RNAcentral lists this ribosomal RNA (581 nucleotides) under uncultured bacterium. Its description in RNAcentral is "bacterial SSU rRNA". It matches the Rfam family "Bacterial small subunit ribosomal RNA", at positions 102 to 694 of the family's 1533-position model. The record is from RNAcentral.